GGAGAGGUGGCCGAGAGGCCGAAGGCGCUCCCCUGCUAAGGGAGUAUGGGCCAUAAGCCCAUCGCGGGUUCGAAUCCCGCCCUCUCCG
Molecule: transfer RNA, 88 nt
Filed under: Thiothrix unzii
Lineage: Bacteria; Pseudomonadati; Pseudomonadota; Gammaproteobacteria; Thiotrichales; Thiotrichaceae
Rfam family: tRNA
About the family: Transfer RNA (tRNA) molecules are approximately 80 nucleotides in length.
Source: Rfam by way of RNAcentral